UCCCUGGCGGUCCGGUGGCUAAGACUCUGGGCUCCUAAUACAGGGGUUCCAGGUUCAAUCCCUGGUCAGGGAA
Ovis aries (sheep) is the source of this 73-nucleotide transfer RNA. It matches the Rfam family "tRNA". From Rfam's summary of the family: Transfer RNA (tRNA) molecules are approximately 80 nucleotides in length. Their secondary structure includes four short double-helical elements and three loops (D, anti-codon, and T loops). The record is from Rfam. Lineage: Eukaryota; Metazoa; Chordata; Mammalia; Artiodactyla; Bovidae.